This 440-nucleotide ribosomal RNA is filed under the name uncultured bacterium. RNAcentral describes it as "bacterial SSU rRNA". It matches the Rfam family "Bacterial small subunit ribosomal RNA", at positions 338 to 795 of the family's 1533-position model. The record is from RNAcentral.
CCUACGGGCUGCACCAGUGGGGAAUAUUGGACAAUGGGCGAAAGCCUGAUCCAGCAAAGCCGCGUGUGUGAAGAAGGUCUUCGGAUUGUAAAGCACUUUCGACGGGGACGAUGAUGACGGUACCCGUAGAAGAAGCCCCGGCUAACUUCGUGCCAGCAACCGCGGUAAUACGAAGGGGGCUAGCGUUGCUUGGAAUGACUGGGCGUAAAGGGCGCGUAGGCGGUUUAUGCAGUCAGAUGUGAAAUCCCCUGGCUUAUCCUGGGAACUGCAUUUGAGACGCAUAGACUAGAGGUCGAGAGAGGGUUGUGGAAUUCCCAGUGUAGAGGUGAUAUUCGUAGAUAUUGGGAAGAACACCGGUGGCGAAGGCGGCAACCUGGCUCGAUACUGACGCUGAGGCGCGAAAGCGUGGGGAGCAAACAGGAUUAGAUACCCUCGUAGUC